GCCCCCGUGGCGCAAUCGGUAGCGCGCACGACUCUUAGAAUCGUGCGGUUGCGGGUUCGAGCCCCGCCGGAGGCU
This 75-nucleotide transfer RNA is filed under the name Cryptococcus deneoformans B-3501A. RNAcentral's name for it is "tRNA-Lys". It matches the Rfam family "tRNA". Rfam says of the family: Transfer RNA (tRNA) molecules are approximately 80 nucleotides in length. The record is from RNAcentral. Lineage: Eukaryota; Fungi; Basidiomycota; Tremellomycetes; Tremellales; Cryptococcaceae.